Molecule: ribosomal RNA, 432 nt
Filed under: uncultured bacterium
Lineage: Bacteria
Description: bacterial SSU rRNA
Rfam family: Bacterial small subunit ribosomal RNA
Source: RNAcentral
AACGAACGCUGGCGGCAGGCCUAACACAUGCAAGUCGAGCGAGACCUUCGGGUCUAGCGGCGGACGGGUUAGUAACGCGUGGGAACGUGCCCUUCUCUGCGGAAUAGCCACUGGAAACGGUGAGUAAUACCGCAUACGCCCUUCGGGGGAAAGAUUUAUCGGAGAAGGAUCGGCCCGCGUUAGAUUAGAUAGUUGGUGGGUAACGGCCUACCAAGUCUACGAUCUAUAGCUGGUUUUAGAGGAUGAUCAGCAACACUGGGACUGAGACACGGCCCAGACUCCUACGGGAGGCAGCAGUGGGGAAUCUUAAACAAUGGGCGCAAGCCUGAUCUAGCCAUGCCGCGUGUGUGAUGAAGGUCUUAGGAUCGUAAAGCACUUUCGCCAGGGAUGAUAAUGACAGUACCUGGUAAAGAAACCCCGGCUAACUCCGUG